CCGCCAUAUCACGUUGAAACGCAUGUUCUCGUACGAUCACCAAAGUUAAGCAACGUAGAGCCUGGUCUGUACUUAGAUGGGCAACCACUUGAGAAUACCACGUACUGUA
Non-coding RNA from Acanthosepion pharaonis, 109 nucleotides. The record is from the annotation of a GenBank genome assembly. Lineage: Eukaryota; Metazoa; Mollusca; Cephalopoda; Sepiida; Sepiidae.